Molecule: ribosomal RNA, 590 nt
Filed under: uncultured bacterium
Lineage: Bacteria
Description: bacterial SSU rRNA
Rfam family: Bacterial small subunit ribosomal RNA
Source: RNAcentral
UCCUACGGGAGGCAGCAGUAGGGAAUCUUCCGCAAUGGACGAAAGUCUGACGGAGCAACGCCGCGUGAGUGAUGAAGGCUUUCGGGUCGUAAAACUCUGUUGUUAGGGAAGAACAAGUGCUAGUUGAAUAAGCUGGCACCUUGACGGUACCUAACCAGAAAGCCACGGCUAACUACGUGCCAGCAGCCGCGGUAAUACGUAGGUGGCAAGCGUUAUCCGGAAUUAUUGGGCGUAAAGCGCGCGCAGGUGGUUUCUUAAGUCUGAUGUGAAAGCCCACGGCUCAACCGUGGAGGGUCAUUGGAAACUGGGAGACUUGAGUGCAGAAGAGGAAAGUGGAAUUCCAUGUGUAGCGGUGAAAUGCGUAGAGAUAUGGAGGAACACCAGUGGCGAAGGCGACUUUCUGGUCUGUAACUGACACUGAGGCGCGAAAGCGUGGGGAGCAAACAGGAUUAGAUACCCUGGUAGUCCACGCCGUAAACGAUGAGUGCUAAGUGUUAGAGGGUUUCCGCCCUUUAGUGCUGAAGUUAACGCAUUAAGCACUCCGCCUGGGGAGUACGGCCGCAAGAUUAAAACUCAAAUGAAUUGACGGA